CAAACUAUGUGUGACUGGCGUAGCAUGGACGUACCAUGAGGGAGCACAUAGAUAACGGCCGUACGCCUGGGCAGAGGUA
This 79-nucleotide non-coding RNA is filed under the name Paenibacillus sp. RNAcentral describes it as "ZTP sequence". It matches the Rfam family "ZMP/ZTP riboswitch aptamer (pfl RNA motif)". From Rfam's summary of the family: Previously known as pfl RNA. ZMP is also known as AICAR. The record is from RNAcentral. Lineage: Bacteria; Bacillati; Bacillota; Bacilli; Caryophanales; Paenibacillaceae.